RNAcentral lists this ribosomal RNA (1300 nucleotides) under metagenome. Its description in RNAcentral is "bacterial LSU rRNA". It matches the Rfam family "Bacterial large subunit ribosomal RNA", at positions 1635 to 2925 of the family's 2925-position model. The record is from RNAcentral.
UACACGACCGUACCGCAAACCGACACUGGUGCGCGAGAUGAGUAUUCUAAGGCGCUUGAGAGAACUCGGGAGAAGGAACUCGGCAAAUUGACACCGUAACUUCGGAAGAAGGUGUGCCUUUAGUCAGUGAACCAUUUACUUGGGGAGCUAAACGAGGCUGCAAAAAAUCGGUGGCUGCAACUGUUUAUUAAAAACACAGCACUCUGCUAAGACGAAAGUCGACGUAUAGGGUGUGACGCCUGCCCGGUGCUGGAAGAUUAAAUGAUGGGGUGCAAGCUCUUGAUUGAAGUCCCAGUAAACGGCGGCCGUAACAAUAACGGUCCUAAGGUAGCGAAAUUCCUUGUCGGGUAAGUUCCGACCUGCACGAAUGGCGUAAUGAUGGCCACACUGUCUCCUCCCGAGACUCAGCGAAGUUGAAAUGUUUGUGAUGAUGCAAUCUCCCCGCGGAAAGACGGAAAGACCCCAUGAACCUUUACUGUAGCUUUGUAUUGGACUUUGAACAGAUCUGUGUAGGAUAGGUGGGAGGCUUUGAAGCCGGGACGCUAGUUCUGGUGGAGCCAACGUUGAAAUACCACCCUGGUGUGUUUGAGGUUCUAACCUAGGUCCAUUAUCUGGAUCGGGGACAGUGCAUGGUAGGCAGUUUGACUGGGGCGGUCUCCUCCCAAAGUGUAACGGAGGAGUUCGAAGGUACGCUAGUUACGGUCGGACAUCGUGACGAUAGUGCAAUGGCAUAAGCGUGCUUAACUGCGAGACUAACAAGUCGAGCAGAUGCGAAAGCAGGACAUAGUGAUCCGGUGGUUCUGUAUGGAAGGGCCAUCGCUCAACGGAUAAAAGGUACUCUGGGGAUAACAGGCUGAUACCGCCCAAGAGUUCAUAUCGACGGCGGUGUUUGGCACCUCGAUGUCGGCUCAUCUCAUCCUGGGGCUGUAGCCGGUCCCAAGGGUAUGGCUGUUCGCCAUUUAAAGAGGUACGUGAGCUGGGUUUAAAACGUCGUGAGACAGUUUGGUCCCUAUCUUCCGUGGGCGCUGCAGAUUUGAGGAAGCCUGCUCCUAGUACGAGAGGACCGGAGUGGACGAACCUCUGGUGUAUCGGUUGUCACGCCAGUGGCAUUGCCGAGUAGCUAAGUUCGGAAGAGAUAACCGCUGAAAGCAUCUAAGCGGGAAACUCGUUUCAAGAUUAGAUCUGCCGGGGCCUUGAGCCCCCUAAAGAGUCGUUCAAGACCAGGACGUUGAUAGGUCAGGUGUGGAAGCGCAGUAAUGCGUUAAGCUAACUGAUACUAAUUGCUCGUGCGGCUUGACCA